Molecule: transfer RNA, 72 nt
Filed under: Tropiocolotes tripolitanus
Lineage: Eukaryota; Metazoa; Chordata; Lepidosauria; Squamata; Gekkonidae
Description: tRNA-Thr
Rfam family: tRNA
About the family: Transfer RNA (tRNA) molecules are approximately 80 nucleotides in length. Their secondary structure includes four short double-helical elements and three loops (D, anti-codon, and T loops).
Source: RNAcentral
GCCCCAGUAGCUUAGCUACACCUAAAGCAUUGGCCUUGUAAACCAAAGACGGACGCACCUGUCCCUGGGACA